GGGCCCUUAGUUCAUUUGGUAGAAUGCUUCCAUGGCAUGGAAGAGGUGACCGGUUCAAAUCCGGUAGGGUCCACCA
Molecule: transfer RNA, 76 nt
Filed under: Candidatus Magasanikbacteria bacterium RIFOXYA1_FULL_40_8
Lineage: Bacteria; Candidatus Magasanikiibacteriota
Also listed under: 4 other names
Description: tRNA-Ala
Rfam family: tRNA
About the family: Transfer RNA (tRNA) molecules are approximately 80 nucleotides in length. Their secondary structure includes four short double-helical elements and three loops (D, anti-codon, and T loops). Further hydrogen bonds mediate the characteristic L-shaped molecular structure. tRNAs have two regions of fundamental functional importance: the anti-codon, which is responsible for specific mRNA codon recognition, and the 3' end, to which the tRNAs corresponding amino acid is attached (by aminoacyl-tRNA synthetases). tRNAs cope with the degeneracy of the genetic code in two manners: having more than one tRNA (with a specific anti-codon) for a particular amino acid; and 'wobble' base-pairing, i.e. permitting non-standard base-pairing at the 3rd anti-codon position.
Source: RNAcentral